Long non-coding RNA from Felis catus (domestic cat), 2215 nucleotides. RefSeq lists it as uncharacterized. Lineage: Eukaryota; Metazoa; Chordata; Mammalia; Carnivora; Felidae. The record is from RefSeq and is a predicted model, not a curated record. The transcript has 3 exons.
CAUCCCAGGAGCAGGGUGAGGGAGGGGACCAGAGGCGCUCAGCCUUCCAGAGUACAACUCGGUGAGCACCCACUGUGUGCCAGGCACUGUUCUAGGCCCUGGGAAGAGAGCAGUGACCAACAUGGGUCACAAAAGCUGAGCUGGAGUUAAGAAGAAGGAGGAUAUAACACAAAGGAGGUGGAAAUCCCUGUCCCGCCUUUCUGACCCCAAGAGGUCAUGGAGAAAAAUGGCACCAGACAGAGACUGAAAACGUCACGGACCUAGGUCGUUGCUCUUCCAUUCCCUGCUGGCCGCUGGCAGAGUAGUACACGGAGCCCUGGGUAGGAAAUGACGGUUGACCUCAGCUCUUCAUGCCAUGAUGUCUGGAGCUGCAGCAGCCAUCUUGCUACCGUGAGGUGACAGGCAUGAAGAUGAAAAGACAACACUCACAGGUGGCAGAGUAAGAAGACAGAAUCUGGGUCCUUUGCAACCCUGUUGAAAAACUAAGCCAGCCUUCAGACUGUCAACCUCUAGACCCUUUCUUGAGGUCUGAAAGCUGUGGCUGAUGUGGAUAAAAACAGGAAGAAAACAGGAAGGAAUGACGCUUCUCUCCACCUCCUGCCUUCCAUUUCCCCUCCGCCAAUAGAACAUGGACAGAGCUGAGCAGCUGCCCCAGGCCAUCUGCCAGCUGCGGGCACAUGGGACCCCAGGUGAGACCAGCCGAGGAACCAGCCCACCCACAGCGUUGUGAGAACUAACCCUUGGGGUGUCUAUGCAGCAGUCCCCAACUGAAGCAAUACACAGGGUGAGAACAGUCAACAAGGGUGGGGCCCUCAGCCUCGGGACUUGACGGGGUUGAGGCAGGCGGGAGGAAUUCUGGGGAGGAGGAAGCCUCUGAGCGUCUGUUCUGACCUCUCCUCAAGGAGUCUCGACAAGAUGACAAGACCACAGCUGGCAGUGGGUUUCUUUGGGUUGGAAACUCAUACUUAACCGUAUUCUCUCCUUCGCUCUCACUUCCCUCCCUCGGCCAUGUGGCUCCAUGCAACACAUACGCCGGCCCCUCCUUCCCACAGUGCUCUUUGCCGGGUCCUCUUCUAGCCAUUGGCAUCCUCUGGGAACCGGUUAGGAACGUCAAGUUCUCAGACUCCGUCUCACUCCUGACUGAAUCAGAAACCCGGGGGUGGGGCUCAGCACUCUGGGGUUCAGUGACUGUCCUGGCGAUUUUGAGGACACGCUAAAGUUUGAGAACCACUCACUGGUCUAGCCAGUGAGCAAACAGAUGAGCGACAGGUCCUUGCCAGCCCCCUUCUCGGCUUGGUUUGCCAAAUCAGGGUGUGGUGUCGGAGGGGACGCGGAUGUGUGGAGGGGACGGUCUGAAUGCACGAGGAUCUUUGCCCAACGAGAGAGAGAGAGAGAGAGAGAGAGGGAGGGAGAGAGGGGGGAAGGGGAGACCACCAGGCCCUCACCUAACAGAUGAGAAACUGAACUUCAGCAGACUGGAUAAUUUCCCCAGACGCCAGCAGCUAGAAUGUGCUAGGACCUCACCUCGGCCCCACGUCUGUCCGUCCCAGGAUCUGCUCUGCCAACCAGUCAGCUCCACUGCCAGCCUCGUCAUUAUUUGCAAACCCGUUUCCCACUUUUCUUCAGGAAGCAGCAGAGAGAGACCUACCCAGGGCAGGCCCGUGGGCUCUGCGGGCGGAGAGCCAGUCAGGGGGGCGGGCUCGGUGCUGGGCUCCCAUGACCUGCUCCCGUGUCUCUUUCUGUCCCUGAGUCCUUUGCUCUCAGGGCUCAGGGUGAAGCGCGGGGAAGGCGUGGGGGGAUAAACAGCACCCGGCAAUGCAUCUCCCCGAGUUUAUUUACUAAAACAACAUUUUUUAUUACCAGGACAAGUUCGCAGCGAGAAUAUGACAGCCUACAUUUUAUGUGGCCAUUGAUCUUUAAUCCGAGCCCGCCUCGAGGUUUCCUAUAAAAUCAGGGCUUCCUGGCCCCAAAUGUGAUUCCGGCACCGGAAUGAAUGACGGCCCGGGCUGCUCUUUUCUCAUCUGAAAAGGCUGAAAUUGCUUUGUGUAAAUGGGUGGAAAAUGCUGAUAUUUGGAUUCUAUAAAUAGCUCGCCUCCGGAGCGAGCAGCGCGGGGUUUCAUCUGCGCGGUCUCCUUGGAGGGUUUGGGGCCUUAUCACUUUUAUCCAGGGUGCUGCAUACAAAUGAACCCCGCCGCAGCGCCCGGCCAGCAGUGAG